RNAcentral lists this ribosomal RNA (443 nucleotides) under uncultured bacterium. Its description in RNAcentral is "partial 16S ribosomal RNA". It matches the Rfam family "Bacterial small subunit ribosomal RNA", at positions 338 to 795 of the family's 1533-position model. The record is from RNAcentral.
CCUACGGGUGGCAGCAGUGGGGAAUAUUGGGCAAUGGGCGCAAGCCUGACCCAGCAACGCCGCGUGAAGGAAGAAGGCCCUCGGGUUGUAAACUUCUUUUAUCAGGGACGAAACAAAUGACGGUACCUGAUGAAUAAGCCACGGCUAACUACGUGCCAGCAGCCGCGGUAAUACGUAGGUGGCAAGCGUUAUCCGGAGUUACUGGGUGUAAAGGGCGGGUAGGCGGGAGAGCAAGUCAGACGUUAAAUUCCAGGGCUCAACCCUGGAACUGCGUUUGAAACUGUUCUUCUUGAGUGAUGGAGAGGCAGGCGGAAUGCCGGGUGUAGCGGUGAAAUGCGUAGAUAUACGGAGGAACACCAGUGGCGAAGGCGGCCUGCUGGACAUUAACUGACGCUGAGGCGCGAAAGCGUGGGGAGCAAACAGGAUUAGAUACCCGAGUAGUC